This 1109-nucleotide long non-coding RNA is filed under the name Eucalyptus grandis. Its description in RNAcentral is "long non-coding RNA (EGRA_LNC001628)". Lineage: Eukaryota; Viridiplantae; Streptophyta; Magnoliopsida; Myrtales; Myrtaceae. The record is from RNAcentral.
UUCUCCCUCAUUAACACCUUCUUUUCUCUUACGCCCUCUCACUAUCGCCCUCUCUCCCUCUCUUAGCCUUGCUCACCCAUCGCCUCAUCAGACAACAUUCUCUUGAUAAAACCACCUACAGUUCAUCGAGGUUCAUUGAAGGUAAGUAGAAUUCAUAAUCAUUGGCUAGAGCGAUAUGCUACGUCGUGGAGUUUUAGCUAUGUACUUACUCAUAAGUAAGUUGUUUUAUUGUUAUGGAUCCAUUUUGUAUGUUUGCUCAUGUUUGGGCUAAGAUGGAAGAUAAUAAACUGGCUUAUGCAACACAUAAUAUAUGAUCAUUAAACGGAAGAAGAAGACCGUCGUCACAUAACAUUGACGACGAUGCCUUGUUUGUGAGAACGAGAUGCUGUGGCUAAGCCAAGAUGCCUAAGUUGAGUCCAGAUGCCUCGGGUGAGCUAGCCCUUAGGAUGCCUGGGUUAACCCAGGAUGCCCUAGUUGAGCUUGGAUGCAUAGCUUGAAGUUGGAUGACUCGAUUGAGCUGAGAUCCCCUAAUUGAGCUAGGAUGUAUGUUAAUGAACUUUUUAUGCAUGCCAGUAUGUUUAUUACUACUUGACUUGAUGUGUUCAUGGAUAACCUGAAGGUAAGCAUGCAUGGAAGUUACACCAAAGGGAUACGCAUGAGUGGUCGAGGUGAAGUGGUAAUAUUGCUAUUGGUUUGCCAUCAAUAUUAUAAUACUAGUAUUCUCCAUGCUAGAUUUGAUGAUGAGAAGUCAUCCUAGUAAAUGAAUAAGGGUUUUUACUUACAAAAUCAUGAACUCACUCCUUAUUUUUCAAACUUGUAGGCAGGAAAGCAUCACGUCAGUUUUGGAAGCGGCGGUCACGUUAGAGAAGAUAGGAGUUUCCUCUUACCUAUGUGAAAACUUGUAAUAUGGUGUAAAAAGGAAAAAAUGGCCCGUAGAAAUAGGGCUUGUAAAUGAACUAUUGUAAUAUAAAGUAACGUGUCAUGUGUGAUGUAUAUCCUAGUCUUCCAACCGUUAUUUGUUUGAGGAGUUAUAUGUUCACGUUUCCAUGUGUGCAUGAUAACAAAAUACAAAGAAUUGAGACGACAACGAGCUUGAAACAUCGUGAAAA